CUAAGAGCACUGUAGUAGCGUGGACAGUGGCGGCCAUACAUCGCGGUGGCGCCAGAAUCGCAGAAUUCGUGUCCUCGGACGUUAACGUUCAUUAGGCUGGUCGUUAAAGACCAGAAAAGAAAACGACCCGAUUUACUGGGAUUUCUGCCGCUCGAAAAUGAUAUUUUCUGCGGCGGAGGCGUGUGUCUUGGUUCGUGCGUUGUGGAACGUUGCAAGAUGAGGCGAGGAGCAGAAGGAAAAAGGGAGAAGGAAGGAGUAGCCACACGGUGGUUUAUUCGCGAGGGCAGAGAGAGGGAGAGGCAACGGUAUGCAAAUCGUGGCUUUACCUUCGAUAUAGAGAGCCAAGGUGCGCGCGAUUCGAAGGUAUAUAUAGUGUCGCUGAUUAAAGGACACAGCCUGUGGCGAGGAUUCUCUCCUUCCAGAGGCCCAUGUUGACUCAUAGACAUCGGUUAGUCGUCGUUUUCUAUACGUUGGUCCAAGGUUCAGACGGGAUAAUCGACGAUACAAUUCAUUGGAAAAGUUUAGAGAGAGAAUGGGUGUUGUAAAUUUCGAGUCAAUUGGAUUUAUUGAAAGAGACUAUUUCUAAAUUAUGUUGGGGAAUUAAUAGAUUAAUGAAGAUGAUUUUGAAAAUGUUUUAGAAUCUGAUUUGCAAAAUAGUUUUGAGAUUAUGUAUGCUAAGAAGGGAAAAAGAUUUAUUAUCAUUAAUAAUAUGAUUAUCAAAUUUUUAUGAAAAGAUUUUUGAGAAUUCGUAGAAAUAUUUAAAAAACUAUUAAAAUUAUACGGUGUGAAUAAUCUGUUUUCUUCUUAACGAGGAAAAGAAGUUUUGUUACAAGUGUCUUUGUGGUUAUUAGGUAAUUGGCAUAAAAAAUACUAUUACUUCGAUAAAAUUUCUGAGAACAUUUAGAAUAUUAAGAUGAUCAUGAUUUCGCGAACAAUCUUUUUAUCCUUCUUCGCAUUCUUCAAUCCUCUUUCUCUAAGGAAUAAUUUCCCCCCCCCCCCUUGAAUUUUUAUUGUUAUAGGAGUUAAAACGUGAAGGGGUUGCUGAAAGCUUGUUUAACUGUUGGAAUUUCCAGAAUGAUUUUCUUGACCCGAAGAAUUCUCUUCUGUCCCUCAUUCAAUGAAACUAUUUCUUAUUCCGCUCGUUCAAUCGCUAAAUGCACGCUGUUAGAAUUACUCUACGCAAAACGUUCUUACGUUUCUUAACCCCAGAGAACUUGGCGCAAAAAUUAUAUCCUUUAAAUUUACUCUUUACUACUUCUUUAAAUUAUAAUUCAACGCAGUAUUCCCAUCUCCGUCAAUGAUAUCAUCUAAUAGAAAUGCUUCUAAGACAUAACCGAGAUGCUAUUAUCAUUAGCAUUAAGUAUAAAAUGAUACACUCUUUAUUACACAUCUUUCACGUUAACGCAAACAAAGCUAUGUCACCUCAGAUUUUAUAGCUAACAUUAUCUUCCUUCUUCAAAAACCAUCUAAUCAAGACAAGAGAAACCAAUUAACGACCACACCUCUGCUCAAAAGAAACGAAAAGAAACGAAAAGAAUUAGAGAGAGAGAGAGAGGGGGGAAAGAAAGAGAGGGAGGGGGAAAGGAGUAGAGAGAGGAAGAGAGAGAUUUGCAGGUUUGCAGAAUAUCGUUUGAUUUGACGGCAGCUAGCCGGAAAGCCAGCUUCUCAAUCCCCUUUUCCCAUUGGCCACGGCGCGUUUCAGUCGCUCGCGACAGCACGGUCGCGCCGCAUUCCAGCCACGCGCCUUGCCUAGGAACACUGGCGUAACUACCGAGCCUUAACGAGCCGAUUUGUCAACCGGUAUAUAUGCCGUGGCCCUCGAUAAGAAGACACGUCGCUCGAGAUGACGAUUACGAGGCAAUCGAUCGUGAAAUGCCACCAGGCGAUCGGAUCCCCGAUUGUCGCCCCACUUUUACAAAUCGAUCGCUGGUGCGGCCUCCACGUUUCCGAUUGGGAACGGGUAUCCGUGAUGUUUUCUUCUGCGGCCUCCAUUCCGUCGAACAAAGGGAGGACACCAGUUUUUAUUUUUGCCGAAACAUUCUGCCUUCUGCUGGAAGGAAAUAAAGAAAUAUCGGGGGAAGAUUAUUUCUGCGGUUCGUGGUUUUCUUUCGAGAAUUGCGAUGAAAAGGUUCUUAGAGAAAUGGUUCAGAACAGGGAUCGGAAAGUGGAGUUGAUCUCUCUCUUAUAAUUAUAAUUUUUAACGAGCGUUUGUACAUAUUUUUAUAAAUAUUGAAUAAAAACUUACGAUUGAGUUAUAGAAUUUUCUAUUUCUAUAUUUAUUUUUAAAUAGAUAUUUUAUUAUACAACAAGAAUCGUGAAGAAAAUUUUUUAAAUCCUUUCAAUUCGUUCUUCCUCAAAGUAAAGAAAGAAAAAAAAAAUAUAUGAAAAGGAAAUUACUGAAACGCCAUCAGAUAUAUUCACAUUCUUCCCUACAAAAUAAGAAAAAAUCCAUCGAAAAUUCACCAAACUGACCUUCUUCACGAGAAAAAAGAGGAAGAAGGAAAAAAAAAACAGAAAAGAAAAAUUUUCGAGAAGGAUGAUUAUUUUCGAAAAUCGUAGCUACCUACGUCAAUGGGAAUCUGCUAGGUACAGCAAGAGCAGCAAAAGCAGCACGAGCCGGGGCUGUGUAGUCGUGGUCGAGCGGAGGCGGUGGGAGCCGUCCGCUCUACCGUGGCGUGGAGAAGCGAAAGAGGAGCAAAAAGGAGCCGCGCACGGCGAAAAGGCGUACGUGGUAGGGGAUGAACGUGGAGAAGGUGGUGGUAGACGAGGAGAGUGGUAUCGGAGUGGUGGAAGGAUGGAGAGAGAGGGAAGAGCCGCGACACAAUCACGUCCUGCACGCGCCGUGCCCGGAGCCACUUUCAGACGCUGUUACACGAGGCACCGGCUCCUUUCCUCGACUUCCGGACUGGCAAAGUAUUUCGCUGUGGCAUCUGCUUCUGAUACGUAAUCUGCUCGUGUUGAUAUAUUGUAUCCGGGGAUGGAUGGUUCGUCGAGAAGCCGGAUCUCUAUAUAAUUUUUCUUAACGGGAAUUUUGAAGAGGAUUUCUUUCGUAUUGUCCGGCUGUGAAUAUUAUGCAAAAAGAUGGAAUGUCACAUAUUUUUUUUUUAAAUUUACGAAAAAAUUGACAGUGUUGUGAUUAAAUAAUAAUAUAAUUAUUAUAUGUCCGUAGAUAUAUUGUAUCCGGGGAUGGAUAUCAUUUUUCUAAAAUCUCACAGGUCUGAAUAUUAUUGGGAAAAGAUUUUUUCGAUGGAAAUUUAAUAUUCAUGAAUGCUGAAUGGUUGAUACAUUGUAUCUAAAGUAAAUAAUCAGUGCAACUCUACAAUUUUUCUUAACGGAAUUUUAAAAAGGAUUUUUUUCAUUGUCCACGAAUAUCAUCGUGAAAAGAUUUUUUGAUGGAAUUACAGAUUUAAAAAAUAAUUUUUUAAUAAUUCUUACGACCCGUUAAGUGUUCGUUUAAGCUUUCAAAACCGACAAAUGGGACCAAAUUAAAAAUCAAAAUUAAUUCGCCAUCCAAAUCUUCGAAUCAAAGGAUGCCAAAAGGGGAAUGGCCCUGAAUGGUCCCGAGAACUACUCUCGCGUGCCGCAAACUGCCACAAAAUUCUUUCAUAAAUUAAUUCUCCCUCUUUCCGCAAUCCACUACUAUCGACGAGAAAAAAGGUAAAAAAAAGAUGAUCGUAGCCUUAUUUUUCUCCCGAUAUGCACCUGCCGUCUUCCCACCUGAGCGUUCGUCUCCCGCGAACGAAAAAAAAAAAAAGGAUUCGAACGAAACGAGACGGAGAGUGGAGGGAAAAAAGGAUGGAAGAGAAGCUGGAUCAACGGUUUCUCGAUAGAGAAGCGAUUAGAUAGACAUCUCUGAAAAGAGAGACGGCGAAGACGUUCGAUAUAAUAAACGAACAGGUACGAUCGAAUCGAGGGGGACAAGUUCGAGGGUGGGUUCAUUCAGUGUCAAUCAGGGAAAGUGAUUUCUAUAGGCUGGUUACGACAGGGACGACGUGUCUGCGUGAAUGGGAACGGCGGAAACCUAAUACGGAGCGGGGGGUAAAAGGGCUCGAUUACCUUGGUGGCCGGUUUAAAAAAUUAUAAAACCAAUUUCCGUGAAGGGGAAAUGAGGUCGUUUGCGGAGGUCAGCGUGCAUAAUGAGGAUCGAUCGAACGGAUGCUGCGCCCUGGUUUUCUCCCCCCGCGCGGGGGAGAGAGAGUCCCGCGCACGAGUUCCUUUCGCGUGGGAGAAACCUCUACUCUCGUGUCCUUUGUGCGCGUGGGCGGAUUUGAUCGGUGGCCGCUCCGCUGAUAGACGUAGAAUUCUUACGCGUCGUGCUCACGUUGUCUCCGUGUUUGCGGAGAGAGAGAGUAUGAUUGGAGAGAGGAGAGGAGUUUGGACUUUGAUCAGUGGAUCCCUGUUACGUGACUUUGUCUCGUUUCGUAACGCAACGUAAAAUGGUAAUGGUUGAGCCGGAAUUAUAUAUUAUUGUUUUUAAAUGUAAAUCUCGCUCGAUUUUUACAAAGUUGGAAACCAAUUAUCGAUAUUACGUAGGUACAAAACCCAGCUACGUGACAUUAAAGGAGGCCAAAUUUUAAAUUAGUAUUCGACAACCGUAAUAACGAGGAAGAUGGGCUUUAACUGGUUAAUGUAACGUAUAAUUCGAGAGGAAUAAUAUCCUCGCAGAAAAAAAAAGAAAAAAAGGAAAGAAUCUCGAAAGUAGCACAUUCAAUUACGAUUCAUUACGAUUUAAUUUCGCUUCUCCCUUAAUUUCUCCCUUAUCGUAUCCUCGCGUAAUCUUAUUCGCAUAAAUCUAGGACGCCUGUACCCCGGCUAAAGCUUAAACCUAAAUCUAAACCUAAAUCCUCACCGCUCACCGUGACUCCGCAAAAACCUCUUAAACCGAAAAGGAACAUGACGAGUUAUCGAGGACUGUGGACGUCGAAGGAUGGAAAGGGUAGAAUGGAAGAAGAGGGGCCCAGGUUCCCUCAGCGGGGAACAUCCCCGCAACGUUCGCGAGACCAAAUUUGGCGGCCAUUGUGAGGCGGCCACUCGGUUAGGCGGACAGAUGUUUCCCAGGGUCGCGGCCAACCAACAGAAGCAUCGAGGAGCAACAAGACAAUUCCGUAUGAUUUAUAUUUAUGAGCGUUACUGGCGUUUAAUAGCUGCCGCGCGUUGCAUUGCGCUCACUGAGUCAUACUGGCGGCGACCUGUCUUCUAAAAGCGAGGAGAGACUUCGAAUCGCCACGAGGACGAACACGCGGCUCGUUACGCCGCUGUUAGGUAUGCGACGUAUUAAUUAAUUGGGAUCCGACGAUGCGGCGAGGAAAGAAGAUGGUGGAAGAGGGAGGAGGAGGAGGACGGCGUUUCGAAGUUGGCGCACCUCGUCGUUUUUCAGGUGCGUGGAAGAAUGUUGGCCCGUUUGCUCGUGGCGGAUUGCUUAUGGGAUUCUAGGCCGAUGAGUAAUGGGCCCGAGAGGCCCCGUAGAUGGAACGUAGAUGACGAUAACUGGUGGUUGGUGGUUCGCGUGGAUCCCAUAACAUGGAUUCCGUGAAUGAAGAUUUCAUAAACUUGAGGAUAUUUAGAAAAAUUGUAAAAUAUAAAGAAAAAUAUCUAAGGAUUCUGAGCAAAAAUACGUUUCUUUGAUAUCUUACAGAAUGGUGGAGACAAAGAUCAAACGAAGCAAUAAAGAAACUAGAUUUUGUUAUUAUUUUCUCACGUGGAUCCAUUUUAAUUAUUCCUCGAUUAUACCAGCGAUAAUUUUGAGGAUGAUUAGAAAAAUUGUGCCAAAGAAAAAUACCUAAGGAUUCUGAGCAAAAAUACGUUCCUUUGAAAUCUUACAGAAUAGUGGAGACAAAGAUCAAACGAAGCAAUAAAGAAACUAGAUUUUGUUAUUAUUUUCUCACGUGGAUCAUUUUAAUUAUUCCUCGAUUAUACCAUCGAUAAUUUUGAGGAUGAUUAGAAAAAUUUUGCCAAAGAAAAAUACCUAAGGAUUCUGAGCAAAAAUAUGUUUCUUUGAAAUCUUACAGAAUGGUAGAGACAAAGAUCAAACGAAGCAAUAAAGAAACUAGAUUUUCUUAUUUUUUUCUGAAUGAAUGCGGUCCAUUUGAACCAUUCUAAUUAUUCCUUUAUUAUCCGAGCGAUAAUUUUGCGCUUCGGAUCACCGAAACAGAGGAGUGAAACACCGAAGCAGGCGCAAUCGCGAUUGGGCCACUUUUUUCCUCUCUCGAAGAGAGACAGUGGCAAAAAGUUAAUUAAAAACGCCGAUUACACCCCGGCGUCGUUUCAUCUGUUUGCUCAUUAACAGGCUCGCCGUGUCCAAUCCAAUGAUUAGAUAGCCUAUGCCACCCGUGCCGCAAUUUCGAUCGUCGAUGGAGCAACGCUGCUUCGACGAGUAAUUACGUUGCCGUUUCGAAACGCUAAAUAAAGAAGAAGAGGAAGAGAGGAGGGGAAUAAAAAGAAAACACCAUAGGGACGGAAUCCAUCCUCGAAAUAGGCAAGUUCGAAAAUUAUCGAUCGAUGAGAAAUCCCGAUUGUCGGGAGAUUUUUUUUUUUCUUUAUCAACGGGAUGCUCCAUGAAUAUUUAUGCGUCCAGCGACAAGGCAAAUAUUUUACGGCGCGAGGAUUCGCGCCAAUGAUCGCCGACGCACGCCAUAGGGAUCCACGUCAAAAUCGAGACGAUAAAUUCGUCUGUCUGCCGGGCCAAUUACGACCGUUAGACGCUGCUACAACCGUGCGUCGCGAUCAUUUAUCGCAGGAUUUUCUUCCGUCCUUUCUCGUUUUCUUUUUUUCUCGACUCGAUGAUAUAGGCUUCGUCGAGAAUUUAAAAUUAAUUUGCAAUUUAUCACAUUGAAGAUACUUUCGGAGAAUCAAUAUUUUAGAUUAAAAAAAAUAAUUACGCAUACUUAUAGUAUGGCGAUGAUUAAUUGAUCCGUGAAGAAGAUAAGAAGGCCAAAUUAUUUCCAAAUUCUUCGUCGUUAAACCUAAAUUUAAAAAUUCAUAAAGAUGCACAAAAUAACGAAAAUUCUUAAAUAUAAACAACGCGAUUA
This is an RNA transcript of Apis cerana (Asiatic honeybee), 7028 nucleotides long. RefSeq lists it as uncharacterized. The record is from RefSeq and is a predicted model, not a curated record. NCBI's taxonomy places the organism in Eukaryota, Metazoa, Arthropoda, Insecta, Hymenoptera, Apidae.